AUCCAGUUGACGAGUCCCAGAUAGGAUGAAACGCGUGUCCUGGAU
This 45-nucleotide non-coding RNA is filed under the name Schistosoma bovis. RNAcentral also lists the same sequence under 1 other name. Lineage: Eukaryota; Metazoa; Platyhelminthes; Trematoda; Strigeidida; Schistosomatidae. The record is from RNAcentral.